GCCGACACUCCAGUGCCAGAGUGUUAGCCAGUUAUGGUAUCUGUUGUUACUAGCCAUCCUCUGACCAACCUGUUUCUUGAAGUAACUAAUUUCGUGUAACCUCUUCCCAGGUUGCCCCUCCGUGACGCCUUGGCCGCCUGACCCGAGUUACUGGCUGGAGGGUUCUUCCACCCUGGAUUCCUGUUCUUCCGCUACCAGCCCACCUCCCUUCCCUGAGCCCCGGCCUCGCGGACCCACUAGUCCCAGAGCUCCAGCCGAGCUUUCCCCUGUAAAUCCUCAAAUCCCAGAGAUCCAGCCCUUGCCAGAGAGAAUAAGAGAGAGACACCUCACCUUCACCUGUACAUAUCUGCACGUUGUUUUUCUAAUAAAUUUCCCUACCUGA
Molecule: long non-coding RNA, 382 nt
Organism: Xiphophorus hellerii (green swordtail)
Lineage: Eukaryota; Metazoa; Chordata; Actinopteri; Cyprinodontiformes; Poeciliidae
Exons: 2
Source: RefSeq, a predicted model, not a curated record